GUCCACUGAAAGAGAGGUAUAUAUAAUCUGACAUGGCUUUAUACAACUGGUCCACUGAAAGAGAGGUAUAUAUAAUCUGACAUGGCUUUAUACAACUGGUCCACUGAAAGAGAGGUAUAUAUAAUCUGACAUGGCUUUAUACAACUGGUCCACUGAAAGAGAGGUAUAUAUAAUCUGACAUGGCUUUAUACAACUGGUCCACUGAAAGAGAGGUAUAUAUAAUCUGACAUGGCUUUAUACAACUGGUCCACUGAAAGAGAGGUAUAUAUAAUCUGACAUGGCUUUAUACAACUGGUCCACUGAAAGAGAGGUAUAUAUAUAAUCUGGCAUGGCUUUAUACAACUGGUCCACUGAAAGAGAGGUAUAUAUAAUCUGGCAUGGCUUUAUACAACUGGUCCACUG
Molecule: long non-coding RNA, 402 nt
Organism: Mytilus californianus (California mussel)
Lineage: Eukaryota; Metazoa; Mollusca; Bivalvia; Mytilida; Mytilidae
Exons: 4
Source: RefSeq, a predicted model, not a curated record